AUCAAAACAAAAUAAAUAAAUAAAACACACACAUACGUGUGUGUAUGUCUGCGAUUUUAACCAGAGCCAGGAAGGCUCUCUUGCUCAAAACCCUAAAGUGCCAAGAAUCACCAAAUUGAAGGGCAGAACUAGCUCAAAUCAGAUGCAUGAACACGAAUUCAUGAUCACCUAGUCAUGGGGAUUACAAGAUGGAGGCUUGGGCAAGGAGCGGGUCAAACGGAUCGGGUACGCGAAAAAGGAGCAUAACCGGAUGCAAGGAGCAAUUAACGAUUCGGAUACUCCCGUCACCAUAGAAAAUGUGAUAAUAAAAGCGAGGUAUAAAUCGGGUCUAUUUGUUGAUCCGAGCCAGGUACGCAUAUUUAUGAUGUAUGUAAAAGUGCUAAUUUGGUCGAAUAAUUGGUGAUAGUCCUUCAUUGUAGAAGAAGGACCAAAAUCGACCAAAACGCCCUUGUAGGCUAAAUUGAACAAACAACCCUUAGAGGUUGUUUGGAAACGAGUCUUAUGAUUAAACAAAAGUUUAGAACGAGUAUGGGUAGUGAAAGACGUAAUUCUUGGGCCGAAAGACUCCAUACGAGUCUUUGCCGUAAAAUGAUAUUUCAAGGAGUAUAAUUCGGAACACAUAGAUAUCUACUUUAAAUCCAACACACAUUUAGUUGUGAUGGAAGAGUACUAGAUAAGAAAUAUAGGUUACAAUGCUAGAUUAGAAUGAAAGCGAAUUUGAGCUUAAAAGUGCUUAAAAUAUCC
This is a long non-coding RNA of Helianthus annuus (common sunflower), 744 nucleotides long. RefSeq lists it as uncharacterized. The record is from RefSeq and is a predicted model, not a curated record. Lineage: Eukaryota; Viridiplantae; Streptophyta; Magnoliopsida; Asterales; Asteraceae. The transcript has 3 exons.